This 83-nucleotide transfer RNA is filed under the name Acetobacteraceae bacterium. RNAcentral's name for it is "tRNA-Thr". It matches the Rfam family "tRNA". Rfam says of the family: Transfer RNA (tRNA) molecules are approximately 80 nucleotides in length. Their secondary structure includes four short double-helical elements and three loops (D, anti-codon, and T loops). RNAcentral also lists the same sequence under 1 other name. Lineage: Bacteria; Pseudomonadati; Pseudomonadota; Alphaproteobacteria; Acetobacterales; Acetobacteraceae. The record is from RNAcentral.
GCUGGGGUGGCAGAGCGGUUGAAUGCACCGGAUUUGUAAUCCGGCUGGGUAACCACACGCAGGUUCGAAUCCUGUCCCCAGCA